The sequence is a regulatory RNA element, 118 nucleotides long. It matches the Rfam family "Ribosomal protein L20 leader". Rfam says of the family: This family is a putative r-protein leader autoregulatory structure found in B. subtilis and other low-GC Gram-positive bacteria. It is located in the 5' untranslated regions of mRNAs encoding initiation factor 3 followed by ribosomal proteins L35 and L20 (infC-rpmI-rplT). The record is from Rfam.
AGAAAAAAGCAGAAGCGCCCGCUUCUCGCCUAGCAGACAUGAGCCUGUGGGCCGAUGAACGAUUUAAUAUUCAAUUUUAAGCGGGGAACUGUGAAGAGUUUCCCGCUUUUCUGCUGCA